Molecule: ribosomal RNA, 495 nt
Filed under: uncultured bacterium
Lineage: Bacteria
Description: bacterial SSU rRNA
Rfam family: Bacterial small subunit ribosomal RNA
Source: RNAcentral
AAAUGAAUUGACGGGGGCCCGCACAAGCGGUGGAGCAUGUGGUUUAAUUCGACGCAACGCGCAGAACCUUACCAGCCCUUGACAUGGCGGCUGCGGCCUGGGGAGACCCGGGCUUCCCUUCGGGGGGCCGUCACAGGUGCUGCAUGGCUGUCGUCAGCUCGUGUCGUGAGAUGUUGGGUUAAGUCCCGCAACGAGCGCAACCCUUACCUUCAGUUGCCAGCGGGUUGGGCCGGGCACUCUGAAGGGACCGCCGGUGACAAGCCGGAGGAAGGUGGGGAUGACGUCAAGUCCUCAUGGCCCUUAUGGGCUGGGCUACACACGUGCUACAAUGGCGGUGACAGUGGGCAGCGAAGCAGCGAUGCGGAGCCAACCCCCAAAAGCCGUCUCAGUUCGGAUCGCAGGCUGCAACUCGCCUGCGUGAAGGUGGAAUCGCUAGUAAUCGCGGAUCAGCACGCCGCGGUGAAUACGUUCCCGGGCCUUGUACACACCGCCCGU